This 691-nucleotide ribosomal RNA is filed under the name Klebsiella pneumoniae. RNAcentral describes it as "partial 23S ribosomal RNA". It matches the Rfam family "Bacterial large subunit ribosomal RNA", at positions 2240 to 2925 of the family's 2925-position model. Lineage: Bacteria; Pseudomonadati; Pseudomonadota; Gammaproteobacteria; Enterobacterales; Enterobacteriaceae. The record is from RNAcentral. RNAcentral also lists the same sequence under 12 other names.
CGGGGUUGCGGACAGUGUCUGGUGGGUAGUUUGACUGGGGCGGUCUCCUCCCAAAGAGUAACGGAGGAGCACGAAGGUUAGCUAAUCCUGGUCGGACAUCAGGAGGUUAGUGCAAUGGCAUAAGCUAGCUUGACUGCGAGCGUGACGGCGCGAGCAGGUGCGAAAGCAGGUCAUAGUGAUCCGGUGGUUCUGAAUGGAAGGGCCAUCGCUCAACGGAUAAAAGGUACUCCGGGGAUAACAGGCUGAUACCGCCCAAGAGUUCAUAUCGACGGCGGUGUUUGGCACCUCGAUGUCGGCUCAUCACAUCCUGGGGCUGAAGUAGGUCCCAAGGGUAUGGCUGUUCGCCAUUUAAAGUGGUACGCGAGCUGGGUUUAGAACGUCGUGAGACAGUUCGGUCCCUAUCUGCCGUGGGCGCUGGAGAAUUGAGGGGGGCUGCUCCUAGUACGAGAGGACCGGAGUGGACGCAUCACUGGUGUUCGGGUUGUCAUGCCAAUGGCACUGCCCGGUAGCUAAAUGCGGAAGAGAUAAGUGCUGAAAGCAUCUAAGCACGAAACUUGCCCCGAGAUGAGUUCUCCCUGAGACUUUAAGUCUCCUGAAGGAACGUUGAAGACGACGACGUUGAUAGGCCGGGUGUGUAAGCGCAGCGAUGCGUUGAGCUAACCGGUACUAAUGAACCGUGAGGCUUAACCUU